This 22-nucleotide microRNA is filed under the name Drosophila virilis. RNAcentral describes it as "dvi-miR-9696b-3p". Lineage: Eukaryota; Metazoa; Arthropoda; Insecta; Diptera; Drosophilidae. The record is from miRBase by way of RNAcentral.
AGCAGUCGAAAAGGGCCUUUCG